This is a long non-coding RNA of Leptinotarsa decemlineata (Colorado potato beetle), 770 nucleotides long. NCBI's taxonomy places the organism in Eukaryota, Metazoa, Arthropoda, Insecta, Coleoptera, Chrysomelidae. The record is from RefSeq and is a predicted model, not a curated record.
UUCUUCAAAAAGUGACGUAACUUCUGCCAACAUACAUUCCUUCACUAGCUGAGAAAAUGGUUUUUGGUGGUUAUUAAGUGUCCAGCACACAUGUAACGCGGCUUUUGUGAAUUUUUCUUGGAUGCUCAUGCAACGAACUAGUAAUUUUGUACUCUUUUCGUAGGAACUGAGAUAUGUCUGAUUUUUUUCUUUACGAGCCUGACUAGCAAGAGGAAAGUUUUUGUGGAAUUGCUGAUGAAUUGUUUUGUAGUGUCGCUUCAAAUUUCCACUUUUAACAAUAGUUCUAUUGCAUAUAAGGCACAUUGGAACCGCUUGAGGUCUAUCAGGAUCCAUAUCAACGUAGGUACAGAAAGAUUUUUAUCAAACGAACGAAAACGACAGAAAUCAAAAAUAAAUGUCCGGUUACUCCGUUGUUUGUUCUGCGACUGAUGAUGGAAAUUUGAUGUAGGCAAUGUAUAUAAAAGAGGACCAAGAAUGCUACAUUGUGGUAUACCUCGUUUUAUUGUUAGACUAUCUGAAAGUUCAUCAUCAAUGUUUAGUCGUUGUUGAUGAUUUGUUAAGUACGAUUUGGAGAGUUCCAGUGAAUGUCUGGUGAAUCCAAGGUGGCACCAAGACUUUUGGAAGUAAUAACAAUAUGCGAUAAUGCUACAGUUCAAUGCGCAUGUGGAAUCCCAGACAAGGAGUUUAUCGAAUUUACAGGGAAUGAGCGUCAUACCUACCAUUAGGACACUACUGAAAUUGAUUUUGAGGAAAAUAAAACUGAUAACAAA